AUCUUCACCAACAUAUCCAGCCUGCGUUAAGGUUGUUGCAUCUGCAAUAACAAAAGGCACAUUCACAAAACGGGCAAGGGUUUUUGCAAGUAGUGUUUUCCCUGAUCCAGUAGGCCCCAUCAAAAGCACAUUGCUUUUUUCCAAUUCCACAUUUUCUUCAUUAUCUUCCUUUGUCGAUUCUGCUCCAGACCCUUUUUGCAAUGAAGCAUGGUAAAUCCUUUUGUAGUGAUUAUAAACACCCACCGAAAGCACCUUCUUGGCACGCUCUUGACCUAUAACAAA
Molecule: unclassified non-coding RNA, 282 nt
Filed under: Hevea brasiliensis (rubber tree)
Lineage: Eukaryota; Viridiplantae; Streptophyta; Magnoliopsida; Malpighiales; Euphorbiaceae
Source: RNAcentral